This 253-nucleotide ribosomal RNA is filed under the name uncultured bacterium. Its description in RNAcentral is "partial 16S ribosomal RNA". It matches the Rfam family "Bacterial small subunit ribosomal RNA", at positions 524 to 776 of the family's 1533-position model. The record is from RNAcentral.
UACGUAGGGUGCAAGCGUUAAUCGGAAUUACCGGGCGUAAAGCGUGCGCAGGCGGUUUUGUAAGACUGGCGUGAAAUCCCCGGGCUUAACCUGGGAAUGGCGAUGGUGACUGCAAGGCUAGAGUUUGGCAGAGGGGGGUAGAAUUCCACGUGUAGCAGUGAAAUGCGUAGAUAUGUGGAGGAAUACCGAUGGCGAAGGCAGCCCCCUGGGAUAACACUGACGCUCAUGCACGAAAGCGUGGGGAGCAAACAGG